CCUACGGGAGGCAGCAGUGAGGAAUAUUGGUCAAUGGACGAGAGUCUGAACCAGCCAAGUAGCGUGAAGGAUGACUGCCCGAUGGGUUGUAAACUUCUUUUAUAUGGGAAUAAAACGUUCCACGUGUGGGAUUUUGUAUGUACCAUAUGAAUAAGGAUCGGCUAACUCCGUGCCAGCAGCCGCGGAAAUACGGAGGAUCCGAGCGUUAUCCGGAUUUAUUGGGUUUAAGGGGAGCGUAGGUGGAUUGUUAAGUCAGUUGUGAAAGUUUGCGGCGCAACCGUAAAAUUGCAGUUGAAACUGGCAGUCUUGAGUACAGUAGAGGUGGGCGGAAUUCGUGGUGUAGCGGUGAAAUGCUUAGAUAUCACGAAGAACUCCGAUUGCGAAGGCAGUUCACUGGACUGCAACUGACACUGAGGCUCGAAAGUGUGGGUAUCAAACAGGAUUAGAUACCCUAGUAGUC
This 460-nucleotide ribosomal RNA is filed under the name uncultured bacterium. RNAcentral's name for it is "partial 16S ribosomal RNA". It matches the Rfam family "Bacterial small subunit ribosomal RNA", at positions 338 to 795 of the family's 1533-position model. The record is from RNAcentral.